This 239-nucleotide ribosomal RNA is filed under the name uncultured bacterium. Its description in RNAcentral is "partial 16S ribosomal RNA". It matches the Rfam family "Bacterial small subunit ribosomal RNA", at positions 15 to 257 of the family's 1533-position model. The record is from RNAcentral.
GAUCAUGGGCUCAGAUUGAACGCUGGCGGCAUGCCUUACACAUGCAAGUCGAACGGUAACAGGUCUUCGGACGCUGACGAGUGGCGAACGGGUGAGUAAUACAUCGGAACGUGCCCAGUCGUGGGGGAUAACUACUCGAAAGAGUAGCUAAUACCGCAUACGAUCUGAGGAUGAAAGCGGGGGACCUUCGGGCCUCGCGCGAUUGGAGCGGCCGAUGGCAGAUUAGGUAGUUGGUGGGA